RNAcentral lists this unclassified non-coding RNA (253 nucleotides) under uncultured Parcubacteria group bacterium. Its description in RNAcentral is "contains 16S-23S intergenic spacer region". It matches the Rfam family "Bacterial small subunit ribosomal RNA", at positions 524 to 776 of the family's 1533-position model. The record is from RNAcentral.
UACGAGUGCCCCAAGCGUUAUCCGGAAUCAUUGGGCGUAAAGGGUGUGUAGGCGGUUCUAUUAGUCUCCUGUCAAAUUCUUGGGCUCAACCCAAGGCUUGCGGGGGAAACGGUAGGGCUAGAGGAUGCGAGGGGUGAAUGGAACUCAUGGAGUAGGGGUGAAAUCCGUUGAUAUCAUGGGGAACACCAAAAGCGAAGGCAAUUCACUGGCGCAUUCCUGACGCUGAGACACGAAAGCGUGGGUAGCGAACGGG